Long non-coding RNA from Ornithodoros turicata, 571 nucleotides. RefSeq lists it as uncharacterized. The transcript is spliced from 3 exons. NCBI's taxonomy places the organism in Eukaryota, Metazoa, Arthropoda, Arachnida, Ixodida, Argasidae. The record is from RefSeq and is a predicted model, not a curated record.
CUGACCGCGGUCAGGCUUCGUAGCGUCGCCGCACGCGGGUCACCGUUUUGUGAGAGGGUGAUGGCCUACGCAAAGAUAUUCGCCGUGCGUCGUGAAAAUGGCUGCCAUCUGCGCGCUGCUCGCUGAUGAAGGCAUUGAUCUUCUUGAGCCAACGCGCUCAUUCCGUCCUCACAGAGACGCGUUUACUGAUUUAUCUGACGACGACUUUGUGGCUCGCUUUCGUCUGUCAAAGUACGAGACAAGAGAGGUGUGUAAAGCGGUUAGAGGAGACCUUCAGCGAGCAAUGGCGACAAACAACCCUCACAGUGGAGCAGAGUGCCCUAAUGCGGUGCAAUUGAUGGCACUGAAGUGGCGAUAAUUCCACCCAGCCAUGCAGGCCCACGGUUUGUGGAUGCAAACUACUACUGCCAUAAAGGCUAUCACGCUAUCAAUGUGCUGGCACUUAUGUACAGUGAACAGCUGUGACGGCAACAUGACAUUCCCGCAAGUUUCAUCACUAUGGCUGUAUAUACAAUGCCGUGCAUCGCUUUUGAACGGGUUUGUGAUGCUGGGCGUAAGAUACUGUACCUAA